RNAcentral lists this long non-coding RNA (1282 nucleotides) under Glycine max (soybean). RNAcentral's name for it is "long non-coding RNA (GMAX_LNC001359)". The record is from RNAcentral. Lineage: Eukaryota; Viridiplantae; Streptophyta; Magnoliopsida; Fabales; Fabaceae.
UGAGCAUGGCACUUGAAGUGUCCCCUGAUGAUGAUACAAUUGCAGAGCUUUUACGGUAUGAUCUUGCUCCCUUCUACAUACCUGCAUCUAUUUUAGAAACAGAACUAUUUAUUGAUCUACUUAUUAUAUAUAUGACAUAUCUGCUGUUGUAAUUGAUGGGUCUCUAAUUAUUAUUUAGGAUUGAUUUUUCAUCAAAUUAAUGUAAUCAAUUGAUUGUAUGCUAAAUUAAGUAUAUCUGUGAGGUGUUUACCAUUCUGCUUUUUCUGAUAGAAUCUUGUGUAACCUAUAAUAAAGGAAUUGAUAUAUUGGAAGUAAGCUGAUAUGAAGUGCUUAUUUCAGGGAUGCCAAGGAAAAAUUGGCAAUGGAUGGUGGUGAGCAUGCACCUGGAAGUAUGUGUUCCCCUCAUUUAUUUUCUACUUUGCCUAAUCCUCAUGAGCUUUAUGCUUAUAAAUAGAUGCCAGGUUUAAGUUAACCUUGUUGGCGUCAUGCAUGUAGGACUAGUAAUUGAAGAAAUAACUGAAGAUGUGCCUUCUGGAAGCUCUUCUUUGGAACAAACAGUGGUUCAACCAAAAAAAUCUGGUGACUCCUCUAAGAGUUACAGUACAGCUAACAAUGGAAAUCCAAAAACAAAUGCAGACAGUUUAGAUGCAUUGAAAAAAGAUCCUGAAGCUGUCAGGUAGUUAGCAUUUUUAUAAAGUUUCUAAGCAUUUUAUGUUUAUUUAUAAUUUAAUGAUUGGCCUACAAAAGAUUUAUGGUUCUUUUUUUUUCUUCUUUUUUUAGAUCAUUCCAAAACUUUAUUUCAAAUACCGAUCCUGACAUGCUGGCUUCUUUGAAUGCUGGACAAUUCAAAGACGUGUCUCCAGAUAUGAUUAAAACUACCUCUGAUAUGGUUAGUAAAAUGUCACCUGAGGAACUUCAAAGAAUGCUUGACAUGGCUUCUUCAUUUCAAGGGGACAACCCAUUUUUUAGAGGAGGUUCCCCUGAUUCUUCUUUCAACCCUGGAUCAAUGCCUCCAAACGUGACACCUGAUAUGUUUAAAGCAGCAAGUGAUAUGAUAAGUAAAAUGCCAGCAGACGAACUUAAGAGGAUGUUUGAAAUGGCAUCCUCACUGAAAGGGAAAGAAUCUACUCCAUUAGCAGCAGCAGUAGAUGAGAAUGAAAGAAAUGUUUCGCGGUCAAACUUACCAUCAUCAAGUACUAAUGGAACUACUGCUUUUGGAGAAUCAAGUUCUCAUAACGUGUUUUCAAAUAUGAGAAAUGCUUCUCAGUCAAACUUCCCUUCC